This 401-nucleotide ribosomal RNA is filed under the name uncultured bacterium. RNAcentral describes it as "bacterial SSU rRNA". It matches the Rfam family "Bacterial small subunit ribosomal RNA", at positions 361 to 776 of the family's 1533-position model. The record is from RNAcentral.
AUCUUCCGCAAUGGGCGAAAGCCUGACGGAGCAACGCCGCGUGAGUGAGGAAGGCCUUCGGGUCGUAAAACUCUGUCUUCAGGGAAGAAAAAAAUGACGGUACCUGAGGAGGAAGCCCCGGCUAACUACGUGCCAGCAGCCGCGGUAAAACGUAGGGGGCGAGCGUUGUCCGGAAUUACUGGGCGUAAAGGGCGCGUAGGCGGUUAUUUAAGUCAGAGGUGAAAACUACCGGCUCAACCGGUAGCCUGCCUUUGAAACUGGAUGACUUGAGGGCAGGAGAGGGGAGUGGAAUUCCCAGUGUAGCGGUGAAAUGCGUAGAUAUUGGGAGGAACACCAGUGGCGAAGGCGGCUCUCUGGCCUGUUUCUGACGCUGAGGCGCGAAAGCGUGGGGAGCAAACGGG